Molecule: unclassified non-coding RNA, 408 nt
Filed under: Hevea brasiliensis (rubber tree)
Lineage: Eukaryota; Viridiplantae; Streptophyta; Magnoliopsida; Malpighiales; Euphorbiaceae
Source: RNAcentral
AGAAAGAGAAGGGUUGUUGGUGAUUUGGUUGUUGGAGGUGAGUUUUGAAUUGACAGUAAGUUGGAUGGCAAUGGUGUUGGUAAGGGCGGAGUUGGCGACAUGGAGGCUGCAUUGAUGCUCGAUGUUGUGUCGAUGUCAGACUGGAGGCUGCAUCAAUGGUUGAUGUUGCAUUCUUAUGCUGCUGGAGACUCAAUGCUGGUAGCGUUAUUGAUGGGCCUUUCGUGCCUUCUUGUCUAAUGGAGAGUGAGGGAAAGAAUAUGUCGGUGCUUCUUGGGAGAGCGGGUGAGAGAAUGCAGAGGAGGCAGAAUGUUACGAUCCUACAUUGUUAAGGAACAACUUUGGUGAGAGGUUAACAAGUCCAUAGGCAUCCUCCCUUGCAAGCCUGUUUUCAAGGGUGAGUUCUACCUA